This 94-nucleotide ribosomal RNA is filed under the name uncultured bacterium. RNAcentral's name for it is "partial 16S ribosomal RNA". It matches the Rfam family "Bacterial small subunit ribosomal RNA", at positions 1388 to 1482 of the family's 1533-position model. The record is from RNAcentral.
CACCGCCCGUCACACCAUGGAAGUGGGUUGCACCAGAAGUGGCUAGCUUAACUUUUAGAGAGCGGUCACCACGGUGUGAUUCAUGACUGGGGUG